AGAUCAAACUGUUGGUCGUGCCUCGGUACGUACUGGUAUUUUCGGUUUCUCCCUCCUGACGAACCUUGAUGUCAUUAAUUUGGUGUCUUGGGGAAUCAGGACUGUUACUUUGAAAAAAUUAGAGUGUUUAAAGCAAGCUAACGCUUGAAUACAUUAGCAUGGAAUAAUGAAAUAGGACGUUCGAUCCUAUUUUGUUGGUUUCUAGGAUUGACGUA
Molecule: ribosomal RNA, 215 nt
Filed under: Campeiostachys nutans
Lineage: Eukaryota; Viridiplantae; Streptophyta; Magnoliopsida; Poales; Poaceae
Description: Elymus nutans partial small subunit ribosomal RNA
Rfam family: Eukaryotic small subunit ribosomal RNA (bases 37-215)
Source: RNAcentral